Long non-coding RNA from Amphimedon queenslandica, 1302 nucleotides. RefSeq lists it as uncharacterized. The record is from RefSeq and is a predicted model, not a curated record. NCBI's taxonomy places the organism in Eukaryota, Metazoa, Porifera, Demospongiae, Haplosclerida, Niphatidae. The transcript is spliced from 8 exons.
UGUAGUCUUGACUGAAGAAACAAGAUUACCAGAAAGAGCCAAGCCAGUGAAGCAGGCACAACACCCCCACAAAAUUUACGGAUCAGUAAAAUGGUUGAAAAUUAGUAUACUAUAACCACGUGUCAAAUAGAAGCACUUGGUGUAGAAUUUUUAAAAGGGUAUUUACUAGAGGAUAACAAGAGAGAGGGAGAAAAAAACGGAGUCUGAGACCCAUAUUGACCAAUUUUGGUACUGGAACGAGUUUCAGUCUUUGGUAGCUAAAUUAUCGUUCCUUGGCCUGAGGGACAGAUUCCUAUCUUAUUCUACCAUCCUUGCCAUUGAGAAUAAAGUGGACGUGUCUGAUAUUGUUUAUUAAUGUGGGUGUGGUUUAAGAUUAAAGAUUAUGUGUCUGAUUGCUGCUCUGACAUAUUUAACGAGAAUUUGUUGGGUGUGGUCACUGAGGAACUUCAGGAUUUAUUGAGUGGCUGGCUCAAUGCCAUAUAUGAAUCAGCGCUGGUUGAUUUGCGUGAGUGCUUGCGUCACGUUGAUUUAAGAGAAGAGCUCAUGGAAUCAUUAACUAAAGUGUUAGACUCAAAUUUGCAUUUAUGAGAGUAGGUUACUCCACCAUGGUGCUAAUACAUCUGAUAUCAUUACCCAGUACAUCUCUUCAGUUCGUAGUCUAAAGCUACUGGACCCAACUGGUGUUGUAUUGGAAAGAGUAUGUGAACCAGUCAAAGCAUAUCUAAGGACUCAAAGUGAUACACUGACAUGAUCAUGGCCAGUCUGAUUGAUGAUAGUAACAACGACCUUUCGGAGGAGCUGGCGAAAGGUGAGACUGUGUUGCUUGAUCUUUCUGAUGAGUAUGAUGAUCCUGAUCAGGACUUUGAGGCAUGGGAACCAGAUCCAGUAGAUGCUGACCCUACUUAUUGGUUCACAUCUUUGGUGAUCAGGAUCUAUUCCUGAAUGAGUAUUAUUACUAUCACUUGACUAUGAUGCUACAAGAGAACUACGGAACCUUGAGUUAUUAAAGCUAAGAUUUGGAGAGAGUAACCUCCAUUAUUGUGAAGUGAUGAUUAAAGACUCACAUUACUAGGUCAUGAUGAGUGGGUGGGUCAUCGAACCUUAUCCCUAUAAAGAAAAACUACUCACACAAGUCACGUAUCUUGUACAGGUGGAUGUGGUUGUGGGUGGAGUCAAACAUGAUGUACAUUGAAUAGGUUGAUAUGAGAGGAGUACCAGCAACACUGGUUAAUAUUGUGUCAAGAUGUUAGCCAUUAGCAGUUGCAUAUUUACGUGAUUAUUUAGAAACAACUAGUUUAAAUU